UACGGGGGGGGCAAGCGUUGUUCGGAAUUACUGGGCGUAAAGGGCUCGUAGGCGGCCAACUAAGUCAUACGUGAAAUCCUUCGGCUUAACCGGGGAACUGCGUCUGAUACUGGAUGGCUUGAGUUCGGGAGAGGGAUGCGGAAUUCCAGGUGUAGCGGUGAAAUGCGUAGAUAUCUGGAGGAACACCGGUGGCGAAGGCGGCAUCCUGGACCGAUACUGACGCUGAGGAGCGAAAGCCAGGGGAGCAAACGGG
RNAcentral lists this ribosomal RNA (253 nucleotides) under uncultured bacterium. RNAcentral describes it as "partial 16S ribosomal RNA". It matches the Rfam family "Bacterial small subunit ribosomal RNA", at positions 524 to 776 of the family's 1533-position model. The record is from RNAcentral.